RNAcentral lists this ribosomal RNA (480 nucleotides) under Triticum aestivum (bread wheat). Its description in RNAcentral is "partial small subunit ribosomal RNA". Lineage: Eukaryota; Viridiplantae; Streptophyta; Magnoliopsida; Poales; Poaceae. The record is from RNAcentral.
AUGGGGCUAUUGCAGGGUUUUGGCAAAGCGACGGGGCUGAACUUGAACCAGGCGAAAUCGACUGUGGCACCCAUCAGAUGCUCUGGCAUCGACCUGCAACACGUUUUGUAGAAUUUUGGCGGGCAGAUCGUGGGCUUCCCCAUUAGAUAUCUCGGCAUCCCGGUGUUUCUAGGCAGGAUUAGACUAGUCUAUCUGCAAUACCUCCUCGACGGGAUUAGAGAUAGACUAGCGGGAUGGAAGGGUCGCCUGAUGCCACUCUCGGAGCGCCGUGUGCUGGUCAGGUGCGUGCUCUUUGCGCUCCCGGCAUUCGCGCUUGCAGUUCUUCGGGCUCUGGCAAAAUUCUUCAAGGAAGUCGACAAGGCCCGCAGGCGGUUCCUAUGGGCGCAGGACGAUGAGCUCGCUGGAGGCAAGUGCAAGGUCCGGUGGCAGGUGGUCGCGGCCCUGACGGAUCGCGGGGGGCUGGGCGUGCCGGACCUGUAG